Molecule: long non-coding RNA, 1782 nt
Organism: Lineus longissimus
Lineage: Eukaryota; Metazoa; Nemertea; Pilidiophora; Heteronemertea; Lineidae
Exons: 3
Source: RefSeq, a predicted model, not a curated record
CCCCGUCCCAAUGUAAGCGCCAUCACUGAAGGUUUAUUUCAAAAGCUGGGUAAGAAGGGUGCGCACCACAGCUGUUUCAGCUAAGCCUAAACAUGACAUCGAAAUAAACCAUUCUGCCUACUAGCCUGCUGCCCAACGAUUGGUCCAUGCGAAAAGCCUGUUAACCGCUAUGUAAACAUUGUCGCCAAUACACAUAUCACACAUUAUCGCAAUACCCAUUCAGCCAAAGGGUUAAUGCAUUGGCAUCGUUCAAACAUCAGCGCGCUUCUGUACACGUGCUCGAAUUAGAUACGAUGGUUUUCAUUGGCUCAUAAGUUGUGUCACAUGACCAUUCACCCGGCUUGAAAAUAUCAUGAAAUUUGGACCAAAAUUAACGAAACAGUGGCGAUUUCCAUGUUUUUUAUCGAUUUUUCGACAAGUUACAGAUUUCGGAAUUCUUCAAGACUAGAUAGCCGGGUAGGCAUAAUAUCAUAUAUCAUAAAUACCCCGGCUGUUUUGCAUAACUCAUUUCAGUUUCGUACAGAAUCGUGCGUUUAUUCUGAAAUUUCUCAAACUUUGAUCUGCUCAAAUUCAAAAUGGCCGACUUGCAGACGGAGAUUGAGAUGGGGUGCCAAGUUCAUCGUACAACAUCGAAUUCCCUUGAUCGUUAUUUAGCAAAACGAGUUACUUCCAGUAUUCAUUUAAAUCUUUACUUUUAAAAUAUAUAUCUAUUUUAUGUUAGUUUGCUGUCUAUUCAUGCAGAAAAUGCAUUUGAAAAACAAAUGUCUAAAAAUAGUUGAGUUUUGAAGUUCGAUGGUCGGGUCUAUUUUGGUGAAAGGGGUACAGCAUGGGUAAUAGUACAAUAAUAAGUCAUGAUCGUGCUUAUGAACAAGCCAUGAGUUAGCAUAUACCAUAGUUUAUGUUGAAAAUAUCUUUACAGAUGUAAUUGAUAAAUAUAGUCUUAAAAAUUCGCCAAAUAUAGAAAAGUUCUUGGUAUAUUAUCCACCUGUUAGCAAAAUGAACUCGCCCAUUGACCCACAUUCCAGUUUGUUGUGGUAUUUUUGUACAGGGUGAUGCCAAAACAGUGCCUUUUGUUGACUGGUAAACAUUCCUUCAGUUACUAAAAUGCCUUUUUCUUUAAUUUCAGCUGGUUGCAUGGUGUGUACUGCAGAUAACUUCUCGACUUAAUCCGGCUGAUGUGAUGCUUUAGUUGAUUCGAGAGGCUACAUGUAUGUAGGCCCAGUACGUCGACAUCAUUGAUCCGGCAGUGAACAAGAUAAGUGGUUCAGCCUCCAAGAUGUGUCACCAGAAAUGCAACCGACAUUAUAGACAGGCGUGAUUACUACUCUGAUUUUGGACUGAUGGUAUACUCGUCUUCAAAAUGGACCUGACUAGGAAUGAUGAUGGUGACUUCCCUCCUCAGAAAAAAGCUCGGUUGGAUUCGAAAGUUGGUGCAGGCGGUCAUUAGCGAUAUUUCGGUCGUAAACGCAAGAAGUCCAAGAAAUCCACUGACAAAUCAGGAAAACGUAUAUUCAAUGUCGGCGACACGUGUUUGUUCAGAUUGGACUCAAACGUUUAUCUUGGAACCGUUCUUAGUCAAGUUGAUGAACAUCAUUUCCAAAUUGAGGACUAUACAGGAACAGUGCGCACCUUCAUUUGUCUGUCACUUUGAUUAAAAGAAAGUUAAAGUUGAAACUUCUAUAGCAAGGAAUAUGAAGAUGUGAACUUUGUAUUAUUAUUUUUUGAAUGUAUGAGUCUAUUGAAUGUAAAUUAAAUGCAUAUUGUGAAUAAUUAAUAAUAAUA